This 85-nucleotide microRNA precursor is filed under the name Loxodonta africana (African savanna elephant). RNAcentral describes it as "miRNA (ENSLAFG00000023425.2)". Lineage: Eukaryota; Metazoa; Chordata; Mammalia; Proboscidea; Elephantidae. The record is from RNAcentral.
UCAUCUGGAGAUCUUGUUAAAAUGCAGGGUUUGAAUUAGUAGGGACCCUGAGAUUCUGCAUUUCUCACAAGCUCCUGGAUGAGGC